This 324-nucleotide long non-coding RNA is filed under the name Setaria viridis. RNAcentral describes it as "long non-coding RNA (SVIR_LNC001441)". The record is from RNAcentral. Lineage: Eukaryota; Viridiplantae; Streptophyta; Magnoliopsida; Poales; Poaceae.
GUUGCGACUACCGCCUCCCAAGCCAAGACAACGUAAGAAGAAAGCAAAGGAGCCUGAGGUGACUCCUGAGGAACGCUGGGAGGCAAUGACUCAUGAGGAACGCUAGACCGAAAUCCAAGUGCAAUCUAGUGAGUGGUUGAGGGAACAAAGGGAAUUAAGAAAAGCAAGGGAGAUGGAGCCACCGCCAGUAGAUCGAAGAGAAUUAUAUAAAUUCAUCAAGAUGCAAGAACAAGCCAAGAAGAGUCAACCACUACUAUCGAACUAUGAACGGGCAUUAGUAAAGGUUGAUGAGAUGAAAAAAAGGAAAAAAGUCGAGUUGCCAGC